GCAGAUCCAGGGCAUCCGCUACCGCCGCUACGCCGCUCAGCGACCUUGCCGUGGGGCGCCAUGGCCUCCGAAAAUUCGCCCCCUCCGCUUUCCCCCUCCACAUCGAUGCUCCAUGGCGCGGGCGCCGGGAUCCAUCACUCGAUUUUUCAUCUUCGCUCCUCUUCUCCACCGCUCGAGCCCGACGAGAUCCGUGGAGAGCAGCCGGCGGCCGGCGAAGAUCCUUGGUGAUCCGCACGGGUACGGCGAGGUUCUUGGUGUUCCACGCGGCCAGAGAGGUUUGUGGGGAGCCGCAGAUGUCUGACCACGUCCACAUGGAGACGCAGGGCGGCCGCAAGUUUCGCAGAAGAGCCGAAGGACCCGGUGGCCAGCAUCUAUGUGGAGAAGCUGAUGUCUGGUGUUGUCCGUGUGGAGCUGCAUGCUGGAAGCGAGGUUCUCAAGUCAUGGCCUUCGUUCAAGAAGAAGCGCAAGAAGCUCAUUCCCGAGGAGGGUGGAGGCACGAGGAUGAGGGAGGACUGGCAUCUUGGCAAUAAUUGAUUUCUCAAUGUUAUCCUGCAGGUAAUGAGUUAAAUGUCAAAUGUCUCCGGCGGAGGAAAGAGGAGGCGCGGUGCAGCAGCCAUGGCGGCGCAGCUGGCCGGCUCGUCGAUGCUAUGUGCGUUGAUUCGACAGCACACGCGACUCCAUCGAUCCCACCAGUCUGCGUCGUGCGCGUGGAUAGGGAGCGCCGUGCGUACGGUACUGUAGGCAGCCGCGCGGGCGCUGGCGACCAGCAGUUCGAGCUGCUUGUCCCGGAGACGCCGCCGUCCAGGGCCUUGUCGGCGUUGGCUCUAAAUUUGUUAAGUGUUGUGUUUUUUUUACAUGGACCUUUUUGUUGCUACCGCUAUUCUGAAAUAUAAGCUG
Lolium rigidum is the source of this 897-nucleotide long non-coding RNA. RefSeq lists it as uncharacterized. The record is from RefSeq and is a predicted model, not a curated record. The transcript is spliced from 4 exons. Lineage: Eukaryota; Viridiplantae; Streptophyta; Magnoliopsida; Poales; Poaceae.